Molecule: ribosomal RNA, 699 nt
Filed under: uncultured bacterium
Lineage: Bacteria
Description: bacterial SSU rRNA
Rfam family: Bacterial small subunit ribosomal RNA
Source: RNAcentral
GAGUUUGAUCCUGGCUCAGAACGAACGCUGGCGGCAGGCUUAACACAUGCAAGUCGAACGUGAAGCAGGAGCUUGCUCCUGUGGAAAGUGGCAGACGGGUGAGUAACGCGUGGGAAUUUACCCAGUGGUUCGGAAUAACGCAUGGAAACGUGUGCUAAUACCGGAUACGCCCUCCGAGGGAAAGAUUUAUCGCCAUUGGAUGAGCCCGCGUCGGAUUAGCUAGUUGGUGAGGUAAUGGCUCACCAAGGCGACGAUCCGUAGCUGGUCUGAGAGGAUGAUCAGCCACACUGGGACUGAGACACGGCCCAGACUCCUACGGGAGGCAGCAGUGGGGAAUAUUGCGCAAUGGGGGAAACCCUGACGCAGCCAUGCCGCGUGAGUGAAGAAGGCCUUAGGGUUGUAAAACUCUUUCAGUGGUGAAGAUAAUGACGGUAGCCACAGAAGAAGCCCCGGCCAACUCCGUGCCAGCAGCCGCGGUAAUACGGAGGGGGCUAGCGUUGUUCGGAAUUACUGGGCGUAAAGCGCGCGUAGGCGGGCUGGUUAGUUGGGGGUGAAAUCCCAGGGCUCAACCCUGGAACUGCCCUCAAUACUGCCAGUCUUGAGUUCGAGAGAGGUAAGCGGAAUUCCUAGUGUAGAGGUGAAAUUCGUAGAUAUUAGGAACAACACCCGUGGCGAAGGCGGCUUACUGGCUCCAUACUG